GAGGGUGUUGCACAGCCAAGUGGGUACUGCAUCUCACGUGAGAUGAAGGACAGCGUGUGCUUUACGAGUCCAUGGCAGUGAAGUCCAUUGACCUUCCUGUGAAUUCCUGCCUGCUGAAAAGCUCCUCUUGCCUCUUGUGUUUGUGAGUGAACCAACUACUGGCCGAAUGCUACCUGCUGGAAACAAGCAGCUCUCAUCCUUGAGCAGGUUCUUUGGCUGUGGGUUAACCCUGUCAGGAAUAUCAAAGCAUGUGACAUGCUUGGCCACAGAAGUUGGUACGUGUGGGGUCUCUCACAAGUUCCUGUCAACACUUCAGCAUUGCAGCUCUCCAGAAUGGAUAACGUUGCUGCCAUUCAUUCUGAGUGGCAUCGUGGCCUCAUUUACAUGGGUUUUACGCUAUCUCAGUUAUCUCAACCUUUUGCUACAGUCAGUUCUUCAUUAUCUGAAGGUACAGUCAAUUUGCCAGUCUUAUUCCUCCCAAAGCCAUCGUGCAGUUGAAUUUUCCAUCUUUUCCAGUUCUUUACCUGCACAACCUCCAGGUAAUGUGUACCUCUGGGGCAUGAUGGGAUGGCUACCCCAGGCUUCCCCAAAAUUACUGCUCAGAAGUCAGGCAGUGAUAUAA
RNAcentral lists this long non-coding RNA (622 nucleotides) under Anser cygnoides (Swan goose). RNAcentral describes it as "lncRNA (ENSACDG00005010108.1)". Lineage: Eukaryota; Metazoa; Chordata; Aves; Anseriformes; Anatidae. The record is from RNAcentral.